RNAcentral lists this small RNA (1038 nucleotides) under Vigna angularis var. angularis. RNAcentral describes it as "Non-protein coding transcript". The record is from RNAcentral. Lineage: Eukaryota; Viridiplantae; Streptophyta; Magnoliopsida; Fabales; Fabaceae.
GGAUGUGCCAACUCAGGUUUUUAAGUCCCCUCUAUCCUACCAAAGCUUUUAACAAGUUAUGAUUUAAUUAUUUAAGUUAUUAAAACUGUCCUACAGUGUUUUAGACAUCAAUAAUUUCAACAGAGACACUUACAAACAUAAUUGCCACAUGUACCACUUCACAAGAACACACCAGUUCAACAUUCAACCUGCAUAUAUUUGUAUAAAAUAAAUUCAUACAAAAAUAAUUAGCUCCCCUUACCUGGAAAACUUCAUAGUUUACUUGACAGGAUGAUCUAAAUAGUGCUCCUCACAGCAAAAUUCAAAGACACCCUAUAAAUCACCCAAUGAUAGAAUUAGCUUUUUAGGCUAGAAAUUACCAUAAGUUUGAAGUAGAACACUUCUAGUGGCAUGCAUUUAGUAAAAUAACAAUGCUCUAGGUGCUAGAAACGGUGGAUAAAAGAGAAAGUGACUUACCGGUUGGAACAAGAACUCGUUCGGUCCGUUACGGAGCCCUUGACGCGGGGAACGUUUGAGCACCACCUAUUCAAAAAUUGAACGGUUCAACAGGGUGGUAUUUUAGAGAGAAGGCAGAACAAUAUUUAGAAGAUGAGUUUUUUAGAGAGAGAAGGAAAAAGUUGGCAGAGUAGAAAGCUGACUUAGGAGAAAGACCCUUGCUAAGGUCAUGUGCCUUUGAUCUGAUGGGCCUGACUGCCCCACAUAAGGCCGAAAGGCCCCUUUAUUAAUUUUACAGGCCCUUACAUUCUAUUCAGAGUGGCGCAGCGGAAGCCUAGUGGGCAUGUGACACCCGGACACUAACACCCGGGCACUGACGAGGGCGGGGAGUGAUCGCCGGUGCAAGAGGCACGAAGUGCAAGGGACACUGACAAGGGGUGGCUCCUGACAGGCUUCCAGUGGAAAGAACACAUGGAUGAAUCGAACAUACACCGGAAUGAGAGGGAUCUAGAGACUGUAUAGGUAUGGGACUAUACAGUUGAAGGAUAGUUUAAAGGGAUUGAUUUGACUACUCAUAUCACCAAAAAUGCAUUUGCUUUUUGG